This is a long non-coding RNA of Lolium rigidum, 264 nucleotides long. RefSeq lists it as uncharacterized. Lineage: Eukaryota; Viridiplantae; Streptophyta; Magnoliopsida; Poales; Poaceae. The transcript is spliced from 2 exons. The record is from RefSeq and is a predicted model, not a curated record.
UGUGCCUAUCCUUUUGAGUUAUUGCUGGAAGUUUAAUCACUGCCACAACUUGAUGGAAACUGUCGUGAUCUUGGCCAGUGUCAUGCUGAAACCUAUGCUGAAGAAGCUUCACCAGCAUGAAAGCUGUGCUAUUUUCGCUACAUAUAUGUAGUGCAUUCUUCUGCUUUGCUGUCUGGAUGUAUUUCACGCUUGUUCCAGUAAUUUUCUUUAUAUGUCGACCAGCACUACUCUCACUUAAUAUAGCGGUUUAUAAUUCGUUUAUCA